CUGGAAGUUUCUCCUUUAGAGCAAGUUCCUUUCAUAGUUCUUUAUAGAAAGACUAUAGUUGUAAAAUGUUGGUAGAGAUGAUAUUUUGUGUAUAGAAUUAAGGACUGAUUACACAUAAAUGUUUAGUGGACAGUAAACAUUUGUGAGUAAUCUGUUCUUACACACAAAAAGAAGGUCUAUAGCUUUAGGAAAGGGAAAAUUAUCAAGGUUAUUCAGACAAAAUGAGUUGAGAAAAUUGAAGGGAAUGUUUAUACUUGAAUGAGACCUCAUGGAGAAAGACAAAAUAAGGAAGACAUGGGAGAAUAUUUGCAUUCUCGGAACCACAAAAGUGAGGAAAGCCAAGAGCACAGCUGGAGUUGCACCAGAUCAAGUAGACAUUCCAUCAGAGCCUGAACUGAGAAUGCACCGUUCCUAGUCCCCUUGAUAACAGCCCCAUUUUCUGUUAAUAAUACUCUAUGGGAAAAAUCUUGCAAAAAUAGUCAGAAAAGGCAGAGUCACAUGCAGUUCAGUGUGUUCCACCUUGGCAGACGGUCUUGGGAGGAGUUUUGGAAGGAUCGUGCUGCAGGAAAUGGAUGAGAUAAUGAUGAGAAAUUUUCCAGUUCUGUAUAAAAGGGCAAGCAAAAUAUACGCUUGUGAAUAUUUGGCUGCCUUUCCAUGCUGUAUUUUCUGAUCAAUUUUAUUUCAGUUCAUGUGAAGAUAAACUCUGUUAUGGUUAUCUCUCGUGGGGUGUCUAUUAUUUUGUCAGAAAUUGUAUCAGGAACUUUAUAUAAAUCACUGAAUUACACAUUUCCAAGCUGCAUGUGAAUUAGGUUAUUACUGUGAUCAUUUUACAGAUGAAGAAGAUGAGACUCAGAGCAAUUCAUAAGUUGCCCAAGGUCAGAGAGCAAUUACCCUAUCAGAGCAUGCUGUACACCUCUUGCCAUAUUCAGAGUUCUUCCCUACAAGCUGCAACAUUUUCCUCUCCUCCUCUGGAUGUUAGGAACAAUAACCCAGGACCGGCCUACAACCUUAGUCACAUCUGA
RNAcentral lists this long non-coding RNA (1022 nucleotides) under Callithrix jacchus (white-tufted-ear marmoset). RNAcentral describes it as "lncRNA (ENSCJAG00000078898.1)". The record is from RNAcentral. Lineage: Eukaryota; Metazoa; Chordata; Mammalia; Primates; Cebidae.